ACAAGUACCCGUGAGGGAAAGUUGAAAAGAACUUAGAGGUGAGAGUUCAACAGGGCGUAAAACCGCUUAGAAGUAAACGGAUGGUGCUGACAUUGUUUCUGCCGGAUUCAGCCGGUCUGAUGGUUGAUCGUUUGUUUACCGAUCGCAAGACGGUAUUCAGAGUGUACUUGACCUAGGACCGGUGCAUUUUCGGUAGAAUGCAUCAUGACCGCUGACGACGCUGGCAUAAGGCCGGUUGGUAGCCGUCUGCAGGUUCUCGGACUUGCAGUGACCCACCUUCCGUGUCCUGACCGAGUUGGCGUCAGCGGAUAACUGAACGUGCCCGCUUCGCUCGUCUUGUGCUUUCAUUGGGUUGAAUGAACCGUCUUGUCGUGCUUGCACGGCAGGGCAACCCUCGGCCCUUUGACUGUACCGGUAUGAGUAGGCACUGAAGGUCUAUGGUGUCCGCGUCAGUCUCCCAUCCGACCCGUCUUGAAACACGGACCAAGGAGUCUAACAUGUGCGCAAGUCAUGGGGUGUAAAACCCAAAGGCGUAAUGAAAGUAAAGGCCGCAAGGCUGAGGUGUGAUGUCUAGUUUAACUGGACCGCAACACCGUCCCAUCGCAUCGGCUUGUCCGGGCGGUGGAGAAAGAGCGUACACGUUGGGACCCGAAAGAUGGUGAACUAUGCCUGAGCAGGAUGAAGCCAGAGGAAACUCUGGUGGAGGUCCGUAGCGGUUCUGACGUGCAAAUCGAUCGUCAGACUUGGGUAUAGGGGCGAAAGACUAAUCGAACCAUCUAGUAGCUGGUUCCUUCCGU
RNAcentral lists this ribosomal RNA (797 nucleotides) under Trichodorus sp. Ali Abad. RNAcentral's name for it is "eukaryotic LSU rRNA". It matches the Rfam family "Eukaryotic large subunit ribosomal RNA", at positions 344 to 964 of the family's 3401-position model. Lineage: Eukaryota; Metazoa; Nematoda; Enoplea; Triplonchida; Trichodoridae. The record is from RNAcentral.